This 101-nucleotide transfer RNA is filed under the name Thermoplasmata archaeon. Its description in RNAcentral is "tRNA-Leu". It matches the Rfam family "tRNA". Rfam says of the family: Transfer RNA (tRNA) molecules are approximately 80 nucleotides in length. Lineage: Archaea; Methanobacteriati; Thermoplasmatota; Thermoplasmata. RNAcentral also lists the same sequence under 2 other names. The record is from RNAcentral.
GCGGGGGUAGCCAAGAGGUAACGGCGCAGGGCUUAGGACCCUGUGGCGAAGGCCUUCGUGGGUUCGAAUUGGCGUAAGCCAUGAAAAUCCCACCCCCCGCA